Molecule: non-coding RNA, 2336 nt
Organism: Theobroma cacao (cacao)
Lineage: Eukaryota; Viridiplantae; Streptophyta; Magnoliopsida; Malvales; Malvaceae
Source: RefSeq, a predicted model, not a curated record
AUAUCAAAAGGACCAAAACCUGAGCAGGUGGGCAGGUCUACUCCAGGGUCCUGGGCAAGCUCCAAGCCGCACCAAUCACCAAAAGGAAAAGAACGAAACUGUGACCCCGACGCGUGAUCUGAGCCUUUAGCCCUACCAAGCCACCGUCCACCUGCAGUAUUUUCAUUAAUCACUUUUUUAUUUUAUAUAUAUAUUAACCUUUUAGCGUCUCUAGGACUAGAAGUUCUUCCAAAUCCCAGUUUCAGCACGACGCAUUUCCUAAUUUUCUCUGUGACAUACAAAAAUGGCAAAUGGGGGUGCUAAUACAGCAGAUUUGGGAGAAAAUGAAAAUGACAAUAUCAGCAAUUGGAGCAUCUCCAAACUGAUUUCUUCCCUCAAAUCGGCUUUUCGUCCCACGGUUUUCGCAAAAGUGGAGGCUGUCCUAGUGGCGAGGGAAGACAAAUCAAAGCGGGAGAUCGAGGCACUGAAACAGGAAAAGGAUUUGUUUUUCUACAAAUCCGAAGAAGAGAGAUUGGAGAAAAUGAGUUUCGAAAACGAACUCAAUAAGUGCAAGAAAGAGUGCGAGGAUAUGAGGAAUGCGGUGUCUAAGUUACGGGAAGAGAACAUGGUAUUAAGGAAGAGAGAGAAGAGUGCAGAGGAAAGAUGCAAGAAGUUGUUACAGGAAAUGAAGAGAAUCGGAGAGAAAGACAAGGAAAUGAUUGAUUUAAGGAGCAGGAAUUGCGAGCUUGAAUGUGAGAAAGCGAAGGCUGAAAAUGAGAUGGAAAUAUUGAGGAAGAGAUUUGAGGAGUUGGAUAAGAAGGUAUCGAGUUUGGAGAGUGAUUUACGGUUUUUGAGUAAUCAAGAAGAUUUGAAGGAAAAUGGGGUUGGGGAAGAAAACAGGAACUCGAAAAACGUGGGGUUAAAAUUUGAUGUGAAGGUGGAAGAAGUCUCUUUUGGUCCAAGUUGUGAUUCUCCUGUCAAAGCUAAUGGGAAUUCACAAAAUCCAGGGAGUGAGAGAACUCCAUCUCAAAGCAUUAUUCAGAUUGUUGAUAGUGAUGAUGAAUGUGCACCAGUAGAAACUCUGAGUGAAAAAGGAACGACUUUGGUAUGUCCUGCUGACAACUCACAUACUGAUCAGAUUGGUGUAGAAAAUGGGAGUCCAACUCUCAAAAGAAAACGAACUUCAUUUAUAAUUAUAGGUGAGAAUGAAAAUGGCGAUAAUGAUGAUAACUCAUUGACUGGAUCGGUAAAGAUGAAAAAAUGUGAAGAGCCAGUUUGCAAGCCUGAUGGUUGUCCUCUUUAUCCUUGCUCAACAACAACUAUUACUUCUGAUAGUAACGAGGUUAACAAAGGUUUUAGCACACCAAGGGAGGAUUUCAUGGUUUUAAGACAAUGCGAACAGCAAAUGGAGUCUGAGCAGAAGUCUCAGAAUCUUAUGAGUGGGUUUCCUUUGGAUGGGCUUGGUUUCAUGGAGGAGAGUUCCUGUUCCUCCGACUCUGACUCUGAUGAUGACAGUGAUGGUGUGCAUAUUUUCUUUAACAAUUCUCAGCCUGCACCAGAGGCUCAGAGGGAAAACGGAAAUUAGCCAGAGGAAUUGGAUGGCUACUUUCUGUUUUAGAUGGGAAAAACCAAAAAACCCCUUUGUCAAAUUGUGCCAAUUGACGAUUUAUCUUUGAUGUGCGCAGGGGUAUUACUCUGGCCAAGAUUCUCAUAGACGGGGAUCCAGAGGGAAGCCGAAGAAAUAUGUCAGGGAAUUACUGGAGUUACGAUUAAGAGGUCUUGAUCAUAAUAAAGAACUAGCCAGUCAGCACUGCAAUCAAUUAUUUGAGAUAGACCCCUGGAAAAAGGAUCCUUUUGGUUAUAAUUGUAGACUGUACGCACCAAUAUUGUUCUUACCAGAAGUUGUUACUGAUAUGGCGACAGCAAACUGCCGAAGAGGAUAGGGCUUUUUAUUUUGUGUAUUUCUCCCUUCUUUUUAACAAGUCUGAGACCUUCUCCUCAGGUCUGACUGUAGAUAGUCACAUGUUUUAGAAGACCCAAGCAACAUUGUUUUAUAUCUGCUAUUCUGCUGGUAUAUCUACAUGCGUUCUCUUUCCCGUAUCUUCAGUGUAGAAUUAAGCAGGUGUCUGCAAUUUUGGGCAAAAGAGCAGGAUAGGCCUUGCCUUUCACUUUUCCCCUUUAGAUUUUUUGCUCUUGACUAGGAGAUUGACGGGGAGGUGGGUGGUUAGUGCCCAUCUUAAAUACCCAAGAAAAGGAAAGAUGGUCUAUGACAGUAUUUACUUGAUGCUUGCAUCUUGCAAAUCUUUGAGAUGCCUAAUAAAUACAGCAGCAUGUAAACAUUGAAAUUUAUUCCUUCA